AUAAUAUCCUGCAAUAACUGUCUCGCAGUUAUGUUCUUGAUAUCAUUUUAACAAUAUGGACCUUCAGACAAAUUGUUCUGGAAGUGAAUUUCUGUAGGUUGGCAGCUCUGCAGUCAUAGCCAUGAAUGCAAUUGUACUGAUAAUUGUCAUAAUAAUUUAUUACGGUGUGUCGGUUUUUGGCCUUGGCUUCCUCAUUUUCAGUUUCGGACAAGAAUUUUUAUUUCCGUUAAUCACUAAUAUUUUAAUUAAUAAAUGAGUUUGCUGAAAGGGAAGUUUUCAUCUGCAGCUCAUUUGUCUUAUUUACAGUAAAAUUUAACUUGUGGAGUGGUUAAAAAAACAACAACCUUGAAGCACACUUGGCAUCUUUUUUUAAUUAUUUGCUAUCUGCCAGACUGAACAUGGCGCACUCAGGGAGGGCGGGGUAGACAUCAUGGUGAGAAUAUAGGUCACUCAUAUGGUUGGGCAAUAUGACAAAACAUUAUCACAAUUACAUUUUUCUUAAAUACUUAAAACUGCUGGUUCGAUUUUGGAAUCCAACUGCUGGGCUGACAGUGUUGGGUCAGAGGUUGGGUCAGUUUUAACCAACAUUGGAUUAAAAUUAGAUUAAAAUAUUAAAGCAUCUGUUAGGUAACAGAUGCCCCGCCCACAACAUAAAACAAAAUGCAUUGAUUUCAUAAUCCAACUUUUGGUAUCGGCUGUUGGGUUUGAUCAACGUUGGGUUACAGGUACACCAAUAGACACUCCUCCUCCUAGAAUUUGCCAUUUUUUUCCCCCACGCGGAACCCUUCUUGGACUGGGACAUGCCGGCUGCUGUUUUGAUGGUGAAGUGGAACAGUAAGUACAGGUUUAGUUGCAUUACACUGCCUUUUACAUUGUAAUAUGCAUUUUCUGUGAAGCUAGGUAUAUCAUGUUAUUAUAUUUAAACAACCACAGCGUAGACGGACGCCAACUAUGGAUAACGUAAUUAGCUUAGCAGCAAACCGGUAGCCGGGGUUUAGCCCUCCUAGAGUUCUCGCUUGCCCGCAAUUGGACUUUGAGAGAUAGAGGGGGAACAAAAACCAGAACCAGCCAGCAUCAACCAGUAGUCAGCAGUGCAUCGUACGUCGUGGUGGCCGCUAACAGACCACCUUGGUCAGCCACGUGAACACUAGAAUUGCCACCACCACCGCAGGUUACAAAUAGCGGAAGAAACAGUGUGGCAAUAUUUGUUAUUUGUGUGAAAGUAUAAUGACUAGCUGUAGCUUGCCGCAUCGUUCCCGUAAACGGCGCCCAGGGUUUUGUUCUGAUAUGACCCCCUGGAGUUCUCGCUGGCUGGCUCUGACGAGCGUAAGAGGCAAGAGAAAAAGAGGGGGCAUCGCGGAGGAGGGGUCAACCAGCCAGAGUCGGGGGCAUGAAGAAACAGUGUGGCAAUGUUUAUUAUUUGUGAAAAGUGUAAUGAAAAGCAAUAGCCUGCUUUGUAUCAAAGCAAGUGAGAAAUGGCCAUUUGUUACCCUAAAUGUUUUUGUAUUCCUUUUGAAAAGAUGGACGACUUUGUGGAGGAAAAGUUCAAUGUGUGAAAUUGGACUGAUAUAUCCCUUCUUUUGAAGUUAUUUCCUGUGUGUGCGUGUGUUUGUUGCUUUUUGUUCCUUUCUGUUUAUUUUCUCGAUUCAGGAUGCCUGGUUGUGACCCCAGGUAGGAUUCAUAAACCAGCAGCAGGGUUCAUAGCGCCUUAGCAAUGUCUUCAUGAAAAAAGCCAGGGCAGGCGAAUAAAUUCGCCACAAGAGAUCCAAGUCAUUCUGCCAGCCUGGAACAAACCUGGUGCAGUACCAAGCCAUAGCAACCACAGAGUACCACUUCAUUUUUAAUGCUUUGGGGGCACCCUUGGAGC
Molecule: long non-coding RNA, 1867 nt
Organism: Phycodurus eques (leafy seadragon)
Lineage: Eukaryota; Metazoa; Chordata; Actinopteri; Syngnathiformes; Syngnathidae
Exons: 3
Source: RefSeq, a predicted model, not a curated record